Molecule: ribosomal RNA, 440 nt
Filed under: uncultured bacterium
Lineage: Bacteria
Description: partial 16S ribosomal RNA
Rfam family: Bacterial small subunit ribosomal RNA
Source: RNAcentral
CCUACGGGAGGCAGCAGUGGGGAAUAUUGCACAAUGGGGGAAACCCUGAUGCAGCGACGCCGCGUGAGUGAAGAAGUAUCUCGGUACGUAAAGCUCUAUCAGCAGGGAAGAUAAUGACGGUACCUGACCAAGAAGCCCCGGCUAACUACGUGCCAGCAGCCGCGGUAAUACGUAGGGGGCAAGCGUUAUCCGGAUUUACUGGGUGUAAAGGGAGCGUAGACGGUUAUGCAAGUCUGAAGUGAAAGCCCAAGGCUCAACCAUGGGACUGCUUUGGAAACUGUAAAACUGGAGUGCAGGAGAGGUAAGCGGAAUUCCUAGUGUAGCGGUGAAAUGCGUAGAUAUUAGGAGGAACACCAGUGGCGAAGGCGGCUUACUGGACUGUAACUGACGUUGAGGCUCGAAGGCGUGGGGAGCAAACAGGAUUAGAUACCCUUGUAGUC